RNAcentral lists this ribosomal RNA (484 nucleotides) under uncultured bacterium. RNAcentral describes it as "partial 16S ribosomal RNA". It matches the Rfam family "Bacterial small subunit ribosomal RNA", at positions 30 to 507 of the family's 1533-position model. The record is from RNAcentral.
AGUGAACGCUGGCGGCAGGCCUAACACAUGCAAGUCGAGCGGCAGCGGGUCCUUCGGGAUGCCGGCGAGCGGCGGACGGGUGAGGAAUACAUCGGAAUCUGCCCUGUCGUGGGGGAUAACCUAGGGAAACUUAGGCUAAUACCGCAUACGACCUACGGGUGAAAGCGGGGGAUCGCAAGACCUCGCGCGACAGGAUGAGCCGAUGUCCGAUCAGCUAGUUGGCGGGGUAAAGGCCCACCAAGGCGACGAUCGGUAGCUGGUCUGAGAGGAUGAUCAGCCACACUGGGACUGAGACACGGCCCAGACUCCUACGGGAGGCAGCAGUGGGGAAUAUUGGACAAUGGGCGCAAGCCUGAUCCAGCCAUGCCGCGUGGGUGAAGAAGGCCUUCGGGUUGUAAAGCCCUUUUGUCCGGGAAGAAAUCGUCUGGGCUAAUACCCCGGGCGGAUGACGGUACCGGAAGAAUAAGCACCGGCUAACUUCGUG